Episyrphus balteatus (marmalade hoverfly) is the source of this 2389-nucleotide long non-coding RNA. RefSeq lists it as uncharacterized. NCBI's taxonomy places the organism in Eukaryota, Metazoa, Arthropoda, Insecta, Diptera, Syrphidae. The record is from RefSeq and is a predicted model, not a curated record. The transcript is spliced from 3 exons.
GUUUUUUUUUACAAAUAAUUGUUAUCUAAAAAAAAAAAAACAAUACCUACUUUUGUGCGCAAAACCCAAUUAUUUUAAAAGGUGCUCCAGGUGGAGAAAAUUCUAAUUGUUUUAAUUAACACCUACAUACAUUAAUUUUGUGUUUUAUUAAACAUUACUGCUUAAAAUUAAAGGUGCUCCAGAGUAAAAAUCGAUCGAAUUCGAUUCGAAACAAAAAAAAACCGACCAUCCAAUCAGACUUUUUAAAGUCUAAAAGUGCUCUUUUUGCUAAGCCACACAAUAUCGCCCAAGUUCAGAAAAAAAAACUAUUUGACUCGCAGCCUGAGCAAACAAAAAAAAAUCACCCCCAAAAUCUCCAUCUUGGAACCUUUUUAUUUAAAUGUGUAAAAAAAGUACAUAUUUUUAUUUUUUUUUUGAUCCUGUUUAAAAAUCCUGCAAGGACUAAAUAAAAUUAACAGCAAAAAAAAAAAAUACAACACACACUCUCAACUCAACAAUCAAAAUCAUCCAAACUUUCAUCCUCGGAAAACAUCCAGGAAAACAUCUAAAAUUGCACUUAUAACCUAAAUAAGCAAUAUCCAGGAAAAACAUAUAAAAUCAUCUUCUACCUGAGCCUUCAUCUCAUCACGUUUCAAAAAAAAAAAUCAUCACAAAACCUAUAAAAGCUAAGUACCUAAAAAUCUUUCUUCCAAGUAAAAAAAUAAAAAAAAAAAAGUUUUAUAAAUCUUAAAUUAUUGCAUAUCUACUAUUUGACCUUGUACAUUCAAUUCGUUCAAAUUUCUUUUUUCUAUUUUACCCUAUUUUAGUCUAGCUUUAAAAUAAAUAAGCAAAAUCAUAACAAAACAACAACAAAAACUCAAUCCUGCGAUGGUGUGCACAUUAUCAGGAGGAAAUGACCAAAUGUGAAUUAUAAACAACGAAGAACAAAAAUACAAUUCACCACUGUAACACAUAAAAAUAUGCAAAAUUGCAAAACAAUUUGUGGGGUAAGUGAGAAUAUUAAUUUAUUGAUUGAAAAUUUGAACGAACGAAUAUAAUUUAAUUUAAUUUAAAUAAUUUUUAAUUGUUGCAAAUUUAAACAUAAAAGAUAAAGAUAUUUGAAAAGUGAAAACAAGAAAGAUACGAAAGAUAAGAAUAAUAAGAUUAAAGAGAAAGAUAGAAAAAAAUAUAUAUAGAGAAAAAGAAAGAAAAAAAGUACACUGAAACUUUCUAAUUGAUAAUUUUUUUUGUUGACAUUGCUAAGGAAGGUGUCAUUGUGAUUUUUUUUUAUUAACUUUUUUUUGUGAUGAUUAAUGAAUUAAUAUUGAAUUCAUAUUAAUUUGAAAUUUAACUAUAAUUAUUUUAUAAUCAAAUUAUAUUUUUUUAUAAAAAAAUUUGAACAUUUAUACAUUUUUCUUUAUUAUCAUUUUGGCUAUAAGUGAUUUGUCGAAACAUUUCGUAUGAGGUUCUAUUGAUAUUUUUUUAAAAUUUUAAUAAAAUUUGUUGUACACUUCAAUUAAGAAAAAAACAUCUUUUAUCUUUACUGAGGUUACUUACAUAUGGAUGGGUUAAUUUUAUUCUGCAUCGAAUUUAGUCAUUUUUUUUUUGUUGUGAAUUUGAUAAGAUGACUUUUGCUAUAAAUUUUUUAUUUUGGCUUUUUGAAGUUGAAACCAUGAUUAUGGUUUAGGUUUUUUUUUUUUCAGGUGGAUGUGGCUCUCACAAGAGUGAGCUAUAAGGCGAUAACGGCAAAAUGAGAACUUAGUUUAUUUUUUUUGUUUUAUUUUGUUCUUUUGGGGUUGCUACAAAUAUUGAGGCCGUGGUAACUAGGUUGGUCACAUGGACCUGCUCAUAGAGUAGGAAUGUGUGACACUAUAGGGUGGGAUAGUCCUCUGAGAGCAAUACAUCUGGCUCUCCUCACUUUCACAAGGAAACAAAAUAUUUUCAGGUUGUAAAAAUAAUAAUGGACAAAUCAGCUUCGCGAUAUUUUUCGUACAAUUUUCAACGGCAUGAAAACGUAACGGCCGUCCAGUUCCCUGGCUACAAGAAUCCCCCCACCGACGAGCUAACCUUUGGCCAUGCAAGCAUGCCGCGCGGUUAGGGAACAGGACACCCAUCCACUUUUGCUUCCAUGUAGGUUUUAGAGUCCCUGUAAGCUCUGAACCCUACUGGUAGUGUAUGGAGUGGGUGGUUUUGGGGUUGAAGUUUUCUUAAAUUUUCAUCUCCGACUCGACAACAUCUCGAGAGUACGUUACAGGUGGCGCCCAACGUGGGGCCCGAUUUUGUCUUGUUUUUGAAAAACUUAAAAAAAAUUUAUAAUUUUUUUUUGAUUUUUGAGUCGCGUUGGUUCAAUGCAAGUUGUUAGUGCUAAAUUAUUUUACAUUCAAUUCUUAUUUUUUUUCUUUUAAUUUUU